GAGAGAGAGAGAGAGAGGAAAGGAAGGAGAGAGUGUGUGUGUGUGUGUCUUAGUGUGUGUUUUUGUGCUUAAAACCGGCCACGGGAGCGCGCCUGUGAGCGGCAUUUUAAAUAGAAGAGAGAGAGAGAGAGAGAGAGAAGAAGGAGCAGAAGGAGAGGGGGUUAUUAUUCAAGAGUGCUGCAGUCAGACGCGCUGCACGGAGGGGAGAAACGGAGAAGGAGGUGGGCAAUCAGUCAAUCAAAAAUCGUUUGCGUUCAGUCUUUGUGUGUGCCUUUUUUUGUUUGUUGUGUUGUUUUUUGUUUUGUUUUGUUUUUACAGGAGAGACGAGAUCGGAGCGGAGCGAGCAGAUGGAUGGAGCGCAGGAGAGGAAGAGGAGAGGAGGUGGAGGUGAGCGCUUUAAGGUGGUGGAGCCAAGUGACGCACAGAUCGAGCAGGGCUGCAGAAAGGGAAGACGGGAAGUAUGGAUUUCAGCCGCCCAGCCCUGCAGCAUGGCUGGAUUUGAUUAACUUUAGUGGUGGUGAUGAUGAUGAUGAUGAUGAUGAUGAUGAUGAUGAUGAUGAUGAUGAUGAUGAUGAUGAUGAUGGUGGUGGUGGUGGUGGUGGUGGUGAUGAUGAAGCAGCAGUGGGCGGUUGAGAUUACGUCAGAAAAGUACAUGGUAUUAUUUCCAACAUUUGACAAUACGAUUUGCUCUUCUGCACUUGUUGGUGGGCAUUUAUAUUCCAAACGAAUACUAAAUUUCAUAAAACAAUCCUGAUUCAACAUCUUCUAAGUGCCCUCCUCUGGAGUUUUCACCCAGAUAAUGGUCAGAGCUCAAAAUAUACUUCUCACUCCUAAUGAACUGUUGCUUUUUUACCCUUCGAGUCCACAAUCACAACAAGAAACUUAUUACACUUGUUUCAAAUGCUUAUUCAGGCUUCAUGCUUAGUCAGCAUCACUCUACUGUAUUCUGGGAUUUAUUUUAUGUAAUUAGAUUACAUUUACCUCUGUUGUCGUUGUACACACAAGACUCUUCAAUGCACUUUAGCAUCUAAACAUGAGUGCAAAGAAACAGGGCAAAAAAAAUGCCAAAAUGUAACAGUUUUCAGGCUACGAAGAAGUGUAAUAUAUGAACAGUAUGUCAUUUACUGUAAAGGUCUAUUUUCUUUUAAUUUUUACAUUAAAAGGUGAUAUUUGCUUUGUGAAAAGAGCAUAAUUGAAUGUAAUGCAUCAUCUUUAGCUAAAAGUGCCUUUUUUAUGUUUGACAGACAUAUUGUGAAGGACAAUAAUCCAUCGUACAAAAGACGUAAAACAUUAAGGGCAUUUUUAAUGUCUGAAUAAUGAAUUUUAAAUGCAUUUAUGAUGCUUUGACAACUCUUUGAUACACUGACUACACAAAAGCAGCUGGUAAUUAUCAACCCUCCAGACUGUAAGUUACCAUGCUUUGAUGAAACAUUUUAUCAUUUAUACCUCAUUCCCAUUUUUCCGGAUUGCUCAAUAAAACCCCCACUCUCUUGACUGAC
This is a long non-coding RNA of Acanthochromis polyacanthus (spiny chromis), 1499 nucleotides long. RefSeq lists it as uncharacterized. The record is from RefSeq and is a predicted model, not a curated record. The transcript has 2 exons. Lineage: Eukaryota; Metazoa; Chordata; Actinopteri; Pomacentridae.